UACGUAGGGGGCUAGCGUUGUCCGGAUUUAUUGGGCGUAAAGAGCGCGUAGGCGGCCGAGUAAGUCCGACGUGAAAUCUGGAGGCUCAACCUCCAGCGGUCGUUGGAAACUACUCGGCUAGAGACCGGAAGAGGAGAGUGGAAUUCCUGGUGUAGCGGUGAAAUGCGCAGAUAUCAGGAAGAACACCGAUGGCGAAAGCAGCUCUCUGGGACGGUACUGACGCUGAGGCGCGAAAGCGUGGGGAGCGAACAGG
This 253-nucleotide ribosomal RNA is filed under the name uncultured bacterium. RNAcentral describes it as "partial 16S ribosomal RNA". It matches the Rfam family "Bacterial small subunit ribosomal RNA", at positions 524 to 776 of the family's 1533-position model. The record is from RNAcentral.